AAAGAUUAUUUAUUUUUACUCAUUUUCUUGUCUGUGCAAAAGUAAUAACUUUUCGUUUUAUACAAGAUCUAUUUUUUACUAUAGAAUGCAACGGUAAAAUUAUUGAUAGAAAAUCUAUUAAACGUCUUUUUAAUUAUUCAGCAAAAAUUAAUAGUUUUUUUAAGGUCUAUAAACUGACAAGCAAUAAAAUAAUAAAAUAUUUUUUUUACGAUUCAAAUAUGUUAUCAGAAAAACAGUCAAUAGAUCUCCAUGCAACUUAUCAACAGCAGUAUGCACAGUUUUUUUAUAAGCACAAUAAUACCGAUAAAUCAAAUAAAAAAAUAACAGAAUAUUGUUAUAAUAUAUCGACUGCUAAUUUUGUUCCAAAUACGUUAAAAGACGAUGGAGAUGGAGAUGGAGAUGGAGAUGUUAAUCAUGUAAAUGAUACGCUUUCACAUAACACAACCAUAACUAACAAUGCUGGUAUUGCAGAAACAGCAAUGUAUAAUAAAAUUAACCCUAGUAUAAUACAUCAAAUAAAUAAACAAAAAGAUUCUACACAUAUCAAUUUGGAUCAUACAACAAAAAAUAAUAUACAUAGUCAGCUGAACAUACAAAAUGAUACAAAAGAUUUAUCACGACAUUUAAAAAAUUGCGAAAAUAAAAAUAAAGAUAAUUCAAAUAAAAUAGAAGAGUAUAGCAAUAUUAUUACAAAAAAUAAUACUACUAAUAAUUAUACCACUAGAAAUAAUACUACUAAUAAUUAUAUCACUAGAAAUAAUACUACUAUCAAUAAUAAUAAUAAUAAUACCAUUUAUAACGAAAAUAUACUUAACCAUUUUUUAAAUUUAGAAAGUAAUAAAAGAAAAACUUUUACCAACUCAAAUUCUAUUACAUUCAAUAAAAAAUGCAAAGUAGAGCAACCAUCAAAAACAAAUGAUAGUAUAAAAAAUGAUCAAACAAAUUUACUACAACAAGCAUCAGAAAAUGUAUCUAACAAAUCAAAUAAUAAAUGUGAAAAAAAGAAUAAAUUAAUGAAUGAAAAUGAUAAUGCAAUGGUUAAACCAUCGUUAGAAAAACAACAAAAUGAUAGUUAUUGUGAUGUAAACAGUGUAAAUAAUAAAAACGCAUUAUGUAGUAGUAAUAGUAGUAGUAGUAAUAAUAAUAAUAGGGUAAAAGAUAAUAACACUUUAACUUUAAACAGUAAUAAAAAUCUAUAUAAUGUACUAUAUGUUGAUAUAUUAAAAAAAUCGGCUUUUACUUAUAAAGAAAAUAUACAUGUGAAUAAAACGAAAAUACAAAAUAACUUUUAUCCAAAAUAUACUACAUCACAAGAUAUGAAUUUAAAAAUAAAUUAUUUAUAUGGGUAUAUUUUUAUGAAAAUGACAAGGUAUAAAUAUUUUCACAAGUGUUUAAUUAGAAUAUUAAAAGAAAAAAACAGGAAACUUCAAAAACAGAUGCAAAAAACUGCUAUUAGUGGUAAUGGAAGCACGAAUGAAGGUGUUAAUUUGAUGCAUAACAAGGGUGGAAUUAAAAACGUGCCGAACACACAAAACGCGCAGUACGCAAGUAAGCAUUCCAAAAAAAGAACUUUUUCAUUUAUUCAACAAACCGAUAAAAAAAAAAAAAGAAAAAAAAUAUAUAUUUACACACUAACCAUAAAGUAUAUCUUAAGAAAUUUAUAUCUGAAUGAAUAUUUAAAAAUUAUAAGCAUCGGAGUUAAGCUAAAUUAUAUUGAAAAUUAUUUAUUUAAUGUGAAAAAAAAAUUAAAAAUGAAACAUCUUCCACCAAUGCUAUUUGAAUUUUUUACAUCUUAUUCAUUACUAACUUGUAAAAAAAAAAGUCUCAUUGAAAAUUUUAUUUUAAGUCAAAAUAAAAACACAUAUUUCGAUAAUUAUAAUAAUUAUGAACAAAUGCAAGGAAAAAUAUGUUCGUAUGAUCAAUUAAAUCAAUUGCAUAUGCUAAAAGAUUAUUCUUAUGUUGAUUCUGCUACUAAUAUGCUACAUCAAAAGCAAGAUUGUCACAAAAGCAAUAGCACAGUUGUGUCGAAGGAAAGUUGCAACAACAACUGUGAUGACAGUAACAUCAAAAAAAAUACUCUAUGCUAUGAAGAUAUAAAUAUACUCAAAAGUUAUCCGAAAAUACCCAUAUUUUUUUUAUUAUACAAAAUAUUAAAAUUUUUACAUUAUAUGAACGCAAUUUACUUUAAGUUUAAAGACAAAAAUAAAAAAAAUAAUAAAAAAUUUUGUUACAAUAUAGAAAAUAAUCAUUAUAAAAAAUUGAAGCAAAACGAUUUAAUUGUAUCAUUUAACGAUUUAAAAAAAAGCAAUUUACAAAUUUAUAUUAAAAAAAAUGUAAAUAUUUUUUUACUUUCUUCUAAAAAAAAACAUUUAACAAAUUAUAAUAUGAUGAAAUACAAUCAUUUUGAAGAAUAUUA
Molecule: long non-coding RNA, 2416 nt
Organism: Piliocolobus tephrosceles (Ugandan red Colobus)
Lineage: Eukaryota; Metazoa; Chordata; Mammalia; Primates; Cercopithecidae
Source: Ensembl